RNAcentral lists this ribosomal RNA (293 nucleotides) under uncultured eukaryote. RNAcentral describes it as "partial 18S ribosomal RNA". It matches the Rfam family "Eukaryotic small subunit ribosomal RNA", at positions 6 to 295 of the family's 1831-position model. The record is from RNAcentral.
GGUUGAUCCUGCCAGUAGUCAUAUGCUUGUCUCAAAGAUUAAGCCAUGCAUGUGCAAGUACAUACCUUAUUAAGGUGAAACCGCGAAAAGCUCAUUAAAUCAGUUACGGUUCAUUGGAUAUUAAUUUUUUACAUGGAUAACUGUGGUAAAUCUAGAGCUAAUACGUGCACAAAAGCUUUGACCUUUUAGGAAAAAGCGCAUUUAUUAGACCAAGACCAAUGGUCCUUGUGACCUCAAACUUGGUGACUCUGAAUAACUGAGCUAAUCGCAUGGCCUAUGCGCCGGCGAUAUAU